Molecule: ribosomal RNA, 687 nt
Filed under: uncultured bacterium
Lineage: Bacteria
Description: bacterial SSU rRNA
Rfam family: Bacterial small subunit ribosomal RNA
Source: RNAcentral
CGACUUGGAGGUUGUGCCCUUGAGGCGUGGCUUCCGGAGCUAACGCGUUAAGUCGACCGCCUGGGGAGUACGGCCGCAAGGUUAAAACUCAAAUGAAUUGACGGGGGCCCGCACAAGCGGUGGAGCAUGUGGUUUAAUUCGAUGCAACGCGAAGAACCUUACCUGGCCUUGACAUCCAGAGAACUUAGCAGAGAUGCUUUGGUGCCUUCGGGAACUCUGAGACAGGUGCUGCAUGGCUGUCGUCAGCUCGUGUUGUGAAAUGUUGGGUUAAGUCCCGCAACGAGCGCAACCCUUAUCCUUUGUUGCCAGCGGUUCGGCCGGGAACUCAAAGGAGACUGCCGGUGAUAAACCGGAGGAAGGUGGGGAUGACGUCAAGUCAUCAUGGCCCUUACGGCCAGGGCUACACACGUGCUACAAUGGCGCAUACAAAGAGAAGCGACCUCGCGAGAGCAAGCGGACCUCAUAAAGUGCGUCGUAGUCCGGAUUGGAGUCUGCAACUCGACUCCAUGAAGUCGGAAUCGCUAGUAAUCGUAGAUCAGAAUGCUACGGUGAAUACGUUCCCGGGCCUUGUACACACCGCCCGUCACACCAUGGGAGUGGGUUGCAAAAGAAGUAGGUAGCUUAACCUUCGGGAGGGCGCUUACCACUUUGUGAUUCAUGACUGGGGUGAAGUCGUAACAAGGUAUC